RNAcentral lists this ribosomal RNA (380 nucleotides) under uncultured prokaryote. Its description in RNAcentral is "bacterial SSU rRNA". It matches the Rfam family "Archaeal small subunit ribosomal RNA", at positions 341 to 725 of the family's 1478-position model. The record is from RNAcentral.
GCGAAAACUUUGCAAUGCGAGCAAUCGUGACAAGGGAACUCCGAGUGCCUGUAAAAUCAGGCUGUCCGCCAGUGUAAAUAACUGGCGAAGAAAGGGCCGGGCAAGACCGGUGCCAGCCGCCGCGGUAAUACCGGCGGCUCGAGUGGUGGCCACUAUUACUGGGCUUAAAGCGUUCGUAGCUGGCCUGUUAAGUCUCUGGGGAAAUCUUCCGGCUCAACCGGAAGGCGUCUCAGGGAUACUGGCAGGCUAGGGACCGGAAGAGGUGAGAGGUACUCCAGGGGUAGGAGUGAAAUCCUGUAAUCCUUGGGGGACCACCUGUGGCGAAGGCGUCUCACCAGGACGGCUCCGACAGUGAGGAACGAAAGCUGGGGGAGCAAACC